Molecule: ribosomal RNA, 254 nt
Filed under: uncultured bacterium
Lineage: Bacteria
Description: partial 16S ribosomal RNA
Rfam family: Bacterial small subunit ribosomal RNA
Source: RNAcentral
UACGGGGGGAGCAAGCGUUGUUCGGAUUUACUGGGCGUAAAGGGCGCGUAGGCGGCCAGCACAAGUCAGUUGUGAAAUCUCCGAGCUUAACUCGGAAAGGUCAACUGAUACUGUGCGGCUAGAGCGCGGAAGGGGCAACUGGAAUUCUUGGCGUAGCGGUGAAAUGCGUAGAUAUCAAGAGGAACACCUGCGGCGAAGGCGGGUUGCUGGGCCGACACUGACGCUGAGGCGCGAAAGCCAGGGGAGCGAACGGG